GAAAUGCGAUAAGUAAUGUGAAUUGCAGAAUUCAGUGAAUCAUCGAAUCUUUGAACGCACAUUGCGCCCCCUGGUAUUCCGGGGGGCAUGCCUGUUCGAGCGUCAUUUCACCACUCAAGCCUCGAUUGGUAUUGGGCGACGCGGUCCGCCGCGCGCCUCAAAUCGACCGGCUGGGUCUUCCGUCCCCUCAGCGUUGUGGAAACUAUUCGCUAAAGGGUGCCGCGGGAGGUCACGCCGCAAAACAACCCCAUUUCUAAGGUUGACCUCGGAUCAGGUAGGGAUACCCGCUGAACUUAAGC
Molecule: unclassified non-coding RNA, 299 nt
Filed under: plant metagenome
Description: partial contains 5.8S ribosomal RNA, internal transcribed spacer 2, and large subunit ribosomal RNA
Rfam family: 5.8S ribosomal RNA (bases 1-105)
Source: RNAcentral